AUGAACGCUGGCGGCGUGCCUAAUACAUGCAAGUCGCGCGAACGGACGAGAAGCUUGCUUCUCUGAUGUUAGCGGCGGACGGGUGAGUAACACGUGGAUAACCUACCUAUAAGACUGGGAUAACUUCGGGAAACCGGAGCUAAUACCGGAUAAUAUUUUGAACCGCAUGGUUAAAAAGUGAAAGACGGUCUUGCUGUCACUUAUAGAUGGAUCCGCGCUGCAUUAGCUAGUUGGUAAGGUAACGGCUUACCAAGGCAACGAUGCAUAGCCGACCUGAGAGGGUGAUCGGCCACACUGGAACUGAGACACGGUCCAGACUCCUACGGGAGGCAGCAGUAGGGAAUCUUCCGCAAUGGGCGAAAGCCUGACGGAGCAACGCCGCGUGAGUGAUGAAGGUCUUCGGAUCGUAAAACUCUGUUAUUAGGGAAGAACAUAUGUGUAAGUAACUGUGCACAUCUUGACGGUACCUAAUCAGAAAGCCACGGCUAACUACGUG
This 496-nucleotide ribosomal RNA is filed under the name uncultured bacterium. RNAcentral's name for it is "partial 16S ribosomal RNA". It matches the Rfam family "Bacterial small subunit ribosomal RNA", at positions 29 to 507 of the family's 1533-position model. The record is from RNAcentral.